RNAcentral lists this ribosomal RNA (325 nucleotides) under uncultured Allapsidae. RNAcentral's name for it is "SSU rRNA". The stretch from base 59 to 325 matches the Rfam family "Eukaryotic small subunit ribosomal RNA", at positions 688 to 955 of the family's 1831-position model. Lineage: Eukaryota; Cercozoa; Glissomonadida; Viridiraptoridae. The record is from RNAcentral.
GAUUUCUGGUAUGAUGUACCUGUCCCGCCACGGUAACGUGUGUGAGUGACGGAGUAUGUCUGCCAUCCUUCUAGAGAAUGCAAGCUGGCCUUUACUGGUUUGGUUUGUAUCAUCUAGAUCUUUUACUUUGAAAAAAUUAGAGUGUUUCAAGCAGGCGUUUUGCUAUGAAUACAUUAGCAUGGAAUAAUAAGUUAGGACUUCGGUUCUAUUUUGUUGGUUUCUAGGGCUGAAGUAAUGAUUGAUAGGGAUAGUUGGGGGUGCUAGUAUUCAGCGGCCAGAGGUGAAAUUCUUGGAUUCGCUGAAGACUAACUUAUGCGAAAGCAUU